This 472-nucleotide ribosomal RNA is filed under the name uncultured bacterium. RNAcentral describes it as "bacterial SSU rRNA". It matches the Rfam family "Bacterial small subunit ribosomal RNA", at positions 355 to 825 of the family's 1533-position model. The record is from RNAcentral.
UGGGGAAUAUUGGACAAUGGGGGCAACCCUGAUCCAGCGAUGCCGCGUGUGUGAAGAAGGCCUGCGGGUUGUAAAGCACUUUCAGUUGGGAAGAGAAUCUAUUAGUGAAUACCUAAUAGAGGAGACGUUACUAACAAAAGAAGCACCGGCUAACUCUGUGCCAGCAGCCGCGGUAAUACAGAGGGUGCGAGCGUUAAUCGGAUUUAUUGGGCGUAAAGGGCGCGUAGGCGGAAAGACAAGUCAGAUGUGAAAUCCUGGGGCUCAACCUCAGAACUGCAUUUGAAACUAUCAUUCUAGAGGGUAGGAGGAGAAAACGGAAUUCCACAAGUAGCGGUGAAAUGCGUAGAUAUGUGGAAGAACACCGGUGGCGAAGGCGGUUUUCUAUCUUAUUCCUGACGCUGAGGCGCGAAAGCAAGGGGAUCAAACAGGAUUAGAUACCCUUGUAGUCCCUGAGCGGGCUGGCAAGGCGCAU